UCAACACUGGCCUGUUGGGUUUCUCAGGGUGCGCCUUCCUAAGUGAGGGUCAGCGGAUUGGCUCAGACAGGCAGGGCUCUGGCAUUUGGCGGGGCCUGUCAGCUGAAAUGCAGAGGACAUAAUUCUACAGGUCGAGGAGUUUCGCAGACAUAACUCCUUGGGAGCAGUGCCCAGGUCAAGAAAGAAAAUGUGGCCAAUGCCCCAGGAUCUUAUUUGGUCAUCCAGGCUGGACUGCAGUGGUGUGAUCAUAGCUCACUGCAGCCUCAAACUGCUGGACUCCAGUGAUCUUCCAGCCUCAGCCUCCCCCGGUAGCAAGGACUACAGGUCUCACUCUCUGUCGCCCAGCCUGGAGUGCAGUGGCAUCAUCUGAGCUCACUACAACCUCCGCCUCCCGGGUUCAAGCGAUUCUCCUGCCUCAGCCUCCUGAGUAGCUGGGACUACAGGCACGCGCCACCACGCCCAGCUAAUUUUCGUAUUUUUAAUAGACAUGGGGUUUCACCAUGUUGGCCAGGCUGCUCUUGAACUGCUAACCUCAAGUGAUCCACCAGCGUUGGCCUCUCAAAGUACUAGGAUUACAGUGCUAGGAGCCACCAUGCCCGGCCGCCUCUCUUUUCUUUUACACAUGAAGAAAAAGUGGUCAGAGAAGUUAACUUGGUCAGUGCCAAAAGCACUGGAAGUGAGUAGGACCAAGCUUUUCAUCUAGAUUUGUUUGUUAGACUCUAAAUCCAAAUUCACAACAAGAUCAGAAUAUGAGAAACCUAAGGAACAAAAUUCUAGGAAUCAUUUCUAGAAACUGUGGCUAUUGAAAAAGCACAGACCUAGGGAAUCAAAUUAUUUUCCCUGCCACCAGCACAUGGGUAGGCCUGUGACAAAUUCCAUGCUCUGGACCCCAGAUUCCUCAGUGAGAAUAGAAGGGGCUAGAGACAUCAGGGAAUUGGAUUUGGUGACUUUAAUACCCACUCAGCUCCAAAGCAUUCUUGAAUGAUGCACGAUUUAUGAAUAUAUAUAUUGAAAUUUACUGAUGGGUGAACAGCUCUCAACAUGAGAUUUUUGUUGUAUGCCUUAAAAAAGAUUAUACAUAAAUAUGCGUGUGUGUGUGUAUGUAUGUUUCGAUGUAUAUGAACCCAUGAUCUGAAAAAUGGCCACUGUGGCUUGUGGAAACCUAUUAAUCUCUGCUGUUCCACCCAACAUCCUCAGAGAAAAAAAUAAACAACUUUUUGAAAGUGCUGCCAUGGGGUCAGACCAAAUACUGUGGCCACUUCCAAGGGGUUUGCCUUGAUUUGCCUGGAUUCCUGUUCAUGUGACAUCUGCCUUCUAAUUCAAGGAUAUGAUCAAUUCAAUGUGUGAGUUAUCAAUCAAGGACUGGCAACAGUGAUGCUGAACAAGCCUGGUGGAAGGAAAGAGAAGGCAGGCCAGAGCCCAGACAGACGCAUUCACAAACCUUACAAAGAGGACAGGCUAAUUAGGGGCUGUAGUUCUCCCUCUCUUUAUAGUUGGUAUAAGAGGAGUGGUAAUCGUAGUGUCCAAAAAUAUAUGGGCUACAUAGUUGCUUAGUAAGCUGUGGGUAUGUGGUUUCUUCUGCAAGGUGCUUUCUUUCUGAUAAAGAGAUUACGUUGUUUGUUUGUUCAUUUAUUGAACAUAUUUACACUUACACACACACACACACACACACACAAUGUUCCAGAUACCGUACUUGGCAAUGGUAGUUAGACCUUGCUCUUGCAAAAUUUAUAAUGAAGUUGGGAAGUGUGGUUUGAUCCCUCAAAGUGUCCAAAUCCUAAUCCCCAG
This 1788-nucleotide long non-coding RNA is filed under the name Homo sapiens (human). RNAcentral describes it as "HSALNT0234081". The record is from RNAcentral. Lineage: Eukaryota; Metazoa; Chordata; Mammalia; Primates; Hominidae.